UACGUAGGGUGCAAGCGUUGUCCGGAAUUAUUGGGCGUAAAGAGCUCGUAGGCGGUCUGUCGCGUCUGCUGUGAAAACUCGGGGCUUAACCCCGGGCCUGCAGUGGGUACGGGCAGACUAGAGUGUGGUAGGGGAGACUGAAAUUCCUGGUGUAGCGGUGAAAUGCGCAGAUAUCAGGAGGAACACCGGUGGCGAAGGCGGGUCUCUGGGCCGAUACUGACGCUGAGGAGCGAAAGCGUGGGGAGCGAACAGG
RNAcentral lists this ribosomal RNA (253 nucleotides) under uncultured bacterium. Its description in RNAcentral is "partial 16S ribosomal RNA". It matches the Rfam family "Bacterial small subunit ribosomal RNA", at positions 524 to 776 of the family's 1533-position model. The record is from RNAcentral.